AGUGGCGCACGGGUGCGUAACGCGUAUGCAACCUACCUUAUACUAAGGGAUAGCCCGGGGAAACCCGGAUUAAUACCUUAUGGUAUUAUUUGAUGGCAUCAUUGAAUAAUUAAAGAUUUAUUGGUAUAAGAUGGGCAUGCGUAGGAUUAGCUAGUUGGUAAGGUAACGGCUUACCAAGGCGACGAUCCUUAGGGGUUCUGAGAGGAAGGUCCCCCACACUGGUACUGAGAUACGGACCAGACUCCUACGGGAGGCAGCAGUAGGGAAUAUUGGGCAAUGGACGGAAGUCUGACCCAGCCAUGCCGCGUGCAGGAAGAAGGCGUUAUGCGUUGUAAACUGCUUUUAUACGGGAAGAAAAGGCCCAUGCGUGGGACAUUGCCGGUACCGUAUGAAUAAGCACCGGCUAACUCCGUGCCAGCAGCCGCGGUAAUACGGAGGGUGCAAGCGUUGUCCGGAUUUAUUGGGUUUAAAGGGUGCGUAGGCGGGCGAUUUAAGUCAGUGGUGAAAGUUUUGGGCUCAACUCAGAAAUUGCCAUUGAUACUG
RNAcentral lists this ribosomal RNA (543 nucleotides) under bacterium EP2.24. RNAcentral's name for it is "bacterial SSU rRNA". It matches the Rfam family "Bacterial small subunit ribosomal RNA", at positions 94 to 635 of the family's 1533-position model. The record is from RNAcentral.